CACGUAGUUAGCCGUGGCUUCCUCCUUUGGUACCGUCAUUAUCUUGCAUUGUUCACACAAGAUACGUUCGUCCCAAACGACAGAGUUUUACAAUCCGAAGACCUUCUUCACUCACGCGGCGUUGCUCCGUCAGACUUUCGUCCAUUGCGGAAGAUUCCCCACUGCUGCCUCCCGUAGGAGUCUGGGCCGUGUCUCAGUCCCAGUGUGGCCGUUCAUCCUCUCAGACCGGCUACUGAUCGUCGCCUUGGUGAGCCGUUACCUCACCAACUAGCUAAUCAGACGCAGACCCAUCUCUAAACGGUAGCAUUGUUAAGAGGCCACCUUUCUUAACUCAGUCAUGCGACUAAGUUACCACAUUCGGUAUUAGCACCACUUUCGCGGUGUUAUCCCCAAUUUAGAGGUAGGUUGUCUACGCGUUACUCACCCGUUCGCCACUAAGUAGCUAUUGCUAACUACUCCGUUCGACUUGCAUGUGUUAGGCACGCCGCCAGCGUCGUCUCGUAGCACGGAC
RNAcentral lists this ribosomal RNA (511 nucleotides) under uncultured Sporomusa sp. RNAcentral's name for it is "partial 16S ribosomal RNA". The record is from RNAcentral. Lineage: Bacteria; Bacillati; Bacillota; Negativicutes; Selenomonadales; Sporomusaceae.